This 883-nucleotide unclassified non-coding RNA is filed under the name Hevea brasiliensis (rubber tree). Lineage: Eukaryota; Viridiplantae; Streptophyta; Magnoliopsida; Malpighiales; Euphorbiaceae. The record is from RNAcentral.
AAAAAAAAAAAACGAAGCAAAGUAUAUCAUCUGUCCUUUCCAACUUUAGGUUCCCAGUAUUCCUAAACAAAAUCCAUCUCAACCACAACAUGUUUCAUGUAAAAUCGCCACAUUCUAUGUUGUGGACAUCAUGGGUGUUGAGUGAAGUGUUAAAGUAUUUCCAGUGGGUAUGGACGAGUGCGGAUCACAAGCUUUGCGGAGUUUAUUGUACCUCUGAAGAUCAAAAUUGUGAAUCUUCAUGAGCUUCUUUUGUUUUGCGCUAAAGCGGCUGUGGAAGAAUCCUUCAUAAGUAGGCUCUUUGGAUGUCCUAAGGAAGAAAGCAUAACCAGCCAUGCAGUAAAAGGAUGUAACAUAGAAGCAAAUUGGCUCCAUUACAUCCCAUGUUAGCUCCCAGAAAGUGAGCCUCAUGAAAGCUGCAGUCUGAAUCACAAAGAAUCCUAGCCCACACCAUAACUCCCUUUGCACCAAGGAUUCUGCCUUUUUGUCAAUAGCUGAUUUCUUCUCAUCCAUUUGUUGAAACUCUUUCAUCAUUUGUGGGUCAUUUGGCUGAGCCAAAGGCCUUGGCAUUAAGCCUUCCAUGGCUUUCACCACCUUAUCAGGCUUAAGGAAUACGACGUUUCCCAAAACAAGUACAAUUCCUGAUUGAUCGAGCAUCUUUGCGAAUUCUAUGGCUUGAUCGGAGUUUGAAGAAGCGCCAUUGCAGAUCUGAAAAAAUUCCGGAAAAGAAAUCCAGUCAUUCUCCAUCUGCCUCAGCCUCGAUUUCACCACCUCCAGUUGUGCCAAUCUCAUAACCUUCUUUGCAUCCGCCACCGUGAAUUUCUCCUCCUCGGCUUCUGACUCAAUCUCCGGCAACAAUUUUUGUUGCGGCGGUGAGAUGAGUGCA